UGUUUGACGUUUAUGUUAAUAAUUAAUUAUUCAAGAUGCCUGAAGAAGCCAUGAUCCAUGGCGAAACGUCGUUGAAUUGAAAAAUAAAAUUAACAUAAAAA
This is a long non-coding RNA of Cotesia glomerata, 101 nucleotides long. RefSeq lists it as uncharacterized. The record is from RefSeq and is a predicted model, not a curated record. The transcript has 2 exons. NCBI's taxonomy places the organism in Eukaryota, Metazoa, Arthropoda, Insecta, Hymenoptera, Braconidae.